Cryptomeria japonica (Japanese cedar) is the source of this 375-nucleotide long non-coding RNA. RefSeq lists it as uncharacterized. Lineage: Eukaryota; Viridiplantae; Streptophyta; Pinopsida; Cupressales; Cupressaceae. The record is from RefSeq and is a predicted model, not a curated record. The transcript is spliced from 2 exons.
UAAAAGUGAAACCUAAAAAUAACAUUCAUUUUUCUCCUUCAUCUUUUUGGUGAAGCUUCUCUUGAUGGUCACCAUACAUUGCUUGGAGAAAAUUAGGGUUUUGAACUAAGCUUCUUUGCAUAUUUUUUUAGAUGAGAAUCUGGGUUGACUAUUUAUUGAUCUGUGAGCUCUAUUGGAAUUGAAUUUUUGUAUCUGUAGCAUGACUAUGACUUUCAAUAGUUUUUACCACUUGUUCUUUAUGCUACAACUGGGAUCUUAAAACUGAUAGAGGAGUUUUUACUUGGAGAUCAUGUGUGCUCAUGAUUUGUGUUCCUGUAAGAUUAAGAUGACUGUGUAUGUACAAUAAUGAUUGAAUUAUUUCUCCUUUUCACUGUA